This 90-nucleotide transfer RNA is filed under the name Novosphingobium sediminis. RNAcentral's name for it is "tRNA-Ser". It matches the Rfam family "tRNA". From Rfam's summary of the family: Transfer RNA (tRNA) molecules are approximately 80 nucleotides in length. Their secondary structure includes four short double-helical elements and three loops (D, anti-codon, and T loops). Further hydrogen bonds mediate the characteristic L-shaped molecular structure. tRNAs have two regions of fundamental functional importance: the anti-codon, which is responsible for specific mRNA codon recognition, and the 3' end, to which the tRNAs corresponding amino acid is attached (by aminoacyl-tRNA synthetases). tRNAs cope with the degeneracy of the genetic code in two manners: having more than one tRNA (with a specific anti-codon) for a particular amino acid; and 'wobble' base-pairing, i.e. permitting non-standard base-pairing at the 3rd anti-codon position. RNAcentral also lists the same sequence under 2 other names. The record is from RNAcentral. Lineage: Bacteria; Pseudomonadati; Pseudomonadota; Alphaproteobacteria; Sphingomonadales; Sphingomonadaceae.
GGAGAGGUGGCAGAGUGGUCGAAUGCACCGCACUCGAAAUGCGGCAUACCCGCGAGGGUAUCCAGGGUUCGAAUCCCUGCCUCUCCGCCA